Molecule: ribosomal RNA, 423 nt
Filed under: Triticum aestivum (bread wheat)
Lineage: Eukaryota; Viridiplantae; Streptophyta; Magnoliopsida; Poales; Poaceae
Description: partial small subunit ribosomal RNA
Source: RNAcentral
AUGUGUGAAGCGACUGGAACGGUGGGAACCUUCUGCUGCAGCGACGAUGAUCAGUACUCCCACAGGAGUGGCUCCUCGAGGCGGAACACGCCGGCGCCGACGAUGUCCUCGUCGACGACCCAGGACGACGCGCACGGGAGGCCCGCCGAGGCCUCAUAUCUCAGGUCCAGGAGCAGGUCGGGGAGGUCGAACAGGGCGUCUUCCGGGUCUUGGACCGGCUCGGCGUGCGGUGCAGGCGGGGGCGGCGGCGAGACCGCGCUGGCGUCGGAGGCGCUGUCGGGGCUCUUGGCAUUGGCACUGGCGCCGCAGGGGAAGUCGGCGGAGGCGGCGACCCAGCUCAGUGUGGAUGAGAUUCAUGUAGUAGUACGGGUAUCAGAUAAUAUUGCCAAAAAUAAGAGUAUCAAAUACCUCAGGGGUGUUUAA